This 74-nucleotide transfer RNA is filed under the name Treponema sp. RNAcentral describes it as "tRNA-Arg". It matches the Rfam family "tRNA". From Rfam's summary of the family: Transfer RNA (tRNA) molecules are approximately 80 nucleotides in length. Their secondary structure includes four short double-helical elements and three loops (D, anti-codon, and T loops). Lineage: Bacteria; Pseudomonadati; Spirochaetota; Spirochaetia; Treponematales; Treponemataceae. RNAcentral also lists the same sequence under 1 other name. The record is from RNAcentral.
GGCUCCGUAGCUCAUCUGGAUAGAGCGGUUGCCUCCUAAGCAACAGGUAGUGCGUUCGAGUCGCAUCGGAGUCA